GGACCCAUGGCGCAACGGUAGCGCGUCAGAUUCCAGUUAGUACAACUCGGAAGUUCCUGAAGGUUAAGCGUUCAAAUCGCUUUGGGUUCA
Molecule: transfer RNA, 90 nt
Filed under: Cephalotrichum gorgonifer
Lineage: Eukaryota; Fungi; Ascomycota; Sordariomycetes; Microascales; Microascaceae
Description: transfer RNA-Trp(CCA)
Rfam family: tRNA
About the family: Transfer RNA (tRNA) molecules are approximately 80 nucleotides in length. Their secondary structure includes four short double-helical elements and three loops (D, anti-codon, and T loops).
Source: RNAcentral